This 1026-nucleotide non-coding RNA is filed under the name Trichomonas vaginalis G3. RNAcentral describes it as "Eukaryotic large subunit ribosomal RNA". It matches the Rfam family "Eukaryotic large subunit ribosomal RNA", at positions 1174 to 2399 of the family's 3401-position model. The record is from Rfam by way of RNAcentral. Lineage: Eukaryota; Parabasalia; Trichomonadida; Trichomonadidae.
GUCUGAUAAAGGUGCCGAAAUGUACUAUCACUGAUACCAUAAAGGGAGUCCAUGUAUUUAGACAGCAGGUCGGUGCCCCUAAAAGCAGGUAUCCGCUAAAGAGUGUGUUAAAACUCACCUGCCGAAUACUAGGGCCCCGAAAAUGAAUGGCGCAUAUAGUACUACCGAUCUCAGACAUCAGUUCUAUUGAACUGAGAGUAGGGGGAUGUGGACAUUUUUGUGAAGGUGCAAUGUGAGUUGGACUGGAAGAAUGUCUAUUACAGAUCCUAAUUGAAGUAGCGAUUAUCCAGGCUUGUAUCCUGGGGGCUGAUGAGGAGUAGGGUUUCUGGACAACUUAAACAGAUCCAGAGUUAGUCGAUCCUAAUCUCAAUAAUGGGAGAAAGGGAGUACAGUUGAUAUUCUGUAACUGACAACAGUUCGCGGCAACGCAUACUAUUUUUCUCCGCCAAUCUUAUACCGUUGGUAGGGAUCUCUUUCCUACAUGACAGUACUAAUACCCAGGGAAACUGGUCAUCAGGCGAACUGCGGCGUUCUGCUGGCAAAACAUAGCUUCGGUUAUGUCAAUGGCUAUUGGAUUGGUCCAUGAAGCGAAAAAUAGUUUACUGUGUCACUCGUACCGAUAACCGCAUCAGGUCUUCUAGGUAAGUAGCCUAUGGCCAUUGAGGCAUGAUAGUUCAGGGAAUUCGGCCAAUUAGAGCUGUAACUUCGGGAUAAAGCUUGGCUCUGAUGAAAAUCAGAACCGAUUGUUACGCGGAGAGCCCAACUGUUUAAUAAAAACGUAGUGUCGCGCUGUGGUAGUAUAGCCAGUGAACGCGACAUGAAUCCUGCUCAGUGCUGUGUCUGUUAAUAUGGUUCAAGCCAACGAAGCACCGGUAAAUAGCUGGGGUAACUAUGACUCUUAUCAAAGUAGCGAAAUACCUCGUCACUUAAUUAGUGACCUGCAUGAACGGAGCUAUGAGGUUCUCACUGUCCCAAACUGUCUCUCAGCGAACCAACUGUAGGGGAACGGUCACUAGAUAUCCAGCG